Suricata suricatta (meerkat) is the source of this 1771-nucleotide long non-coding RNA. RefSeq lists it as uncharacterized. NCBI's taxonomy places the organism in Eukaryota, Metazoa, Chordata, Mammalia, Carnivora, Herpestidae. The record is from RefSeq and is a predicted model, not a curated record. The transcript has 2 exons.
GGUUCAAGGGCAUGGAAUAUGUCAUUCUGAGAAUUCUCCACGCAAGCCAUUUAGCCUCCAGUGUCCGAAGCAGCCACCGGAAGUGAACAAAACUUUUAAAACAGGCGUACAAACCUACCUCAGCAGCCGAUGGGGUUACCCUCCCAAUAAGCCCGUCUUUAAGUUGAAGAUAUCCCUAAGUCGACAAUGCAUCUAAUACACCUAACCCACCGAGUAUCAGCUCGUGCACAGAACACUUAAAUUAGCCUCAACUGGGCCAAAUCAUCUAACACCAAGUGUUGAGAAUCUCCUCUAGCUUACUGGCUACUGUACCCAAGUGAAAACCAGAAUGGUUGCAUGGGCGCAAAAUGGCUGGAGUGUAUCCGCUGUUUACCCCACUGACGGCGUGGCUGACUGCGAGCCGAGGCCUGUCGCCGCUCCCAGCAUCCCGAGAGAGGAUCGUGGGAUACAUCACUAGCUCAGGAAAAGAUCCAGAUUCGGAAUCCGAAGUUUGAUUUCUACUGAAUAUGUAUCGCUCUCACACCAUCACAAAGUCGAAAAAUUGUAUGUCGAACUGUUGUUACGUCAGGGACCAUCUGGAUUCCUUAAUUGCUCUCUCCCAUUACCAAUGUGGCAAGAGAGGUCACUCUGAACAGGACACAGUGGAGCAGCCUGAUGUGGAGACCAGACUACUCAUGUCUGCCUACCUGUCUAUCGGAAAUGGGGGGGAGGGGAGCCAGGUAUUUGCCAAAAGCCAAAGGAAGGCUUAGAAUGGCCUUUCCACCUCUUAAUCCCAUAGAAGCCCAACUCUGGAACAGACUCCCCGAUAAAAGGGUGCAGGGACCAAAUUCUUUGGAACAACUCCAUUUUCAGUUCCCCUCUUGAACUUUUCAAACAGUAGCCUUGUGCCUUGGACCCUGAGAAGUCUCCAAAAUCCAGCUGGAACUGUUGAAACCAUUGUUCUAGAAACAAGUGUGACAGCCAAAUCCUCCGUGUACCCUGGAACACACUUUGGGCAACAUUUCUUGCCUGGCUGGGGACCUGCUGGGACCUUUCUGACAGCACCUUCUAGGCAUGGGCCUGAGGCACACGUGUGUCUGGAGCAGGAAGACCUAGACCCCCGCGGGGCAGGCAAAGACAAUCUCCUGGUCAGGGGUCCUUCAAGCUGACUCCAGUGAAGAGGACACAUGAGUGGGAACCCGGGGUGGCCCAGGGCUUCUCGGAACCGGGGUGUCCUCGGGCAGUUUUCUCUCCCUCCUAUUCCUUCCCUCUGCGACCACACCGUCUUUCCUACUUCCCUCUGCAUAUCUAGUCCACUCACGUGCCUCCAGGUUGGGUGCCUCUGCUCGCUUAUGACCACAUGUGGCUGCUGGCCCCAAGUCCAAAUAACCUUCUGACCUUCAGCACCCACCACCUUCUGACUGCCUCUGUCUUCCACUGCGUGGGUGGUUUACUUCUCAGGGAGACCACCUGAUUGGCUUAGCCUGACGAAGGUGACUCCUCUCUUCCCAUCCCCUCAUAACAGCUCAGGCCAGGGACAUGGUGGAAUCAUUGGGCACAACGAGACUGGGGAUGACUUUGGAAGGAGGAUGUCUAAAAAAGAUGUGUUUGUGUUGGACCUGUGGAAAUGGGGAAGGCGUGUUCUGGAUCUGAGCUCUUCUAUUAGGGAUACCCAGGAAGCCACAACCUAAUGGACCAGAAUCUUCUAGGAUGGGUCCCAGACAUUCUAAGAAGGUCCUACAGCAGAAACCACUGUUCCAUGUAGGAGAGAUAAAUGGCAUGUAUAGAUUUA